AUUGAACGCUGGCGGCAGGCCUAACACAUGCAAGUCGAGCGGUAGCACAGAGAGCUUGCUCUCGGGUGACGAGCGGCGGACGGGUGAGUAAUGUCUGGGAAACUGCCUGAUGGAGGGGGAUAACUACUGGAAACGGUAGCUAAUACCGCAUAACGUCGCAAGACCAAAGUGGGGGACCUUCGGGCCUCAUGCCAUCAGAUGUGCCCAGAUGGGAUUAGCUAGUAGGUGGGGUAACGGCUCACCUAGGCGACGAUCCCUGGCUGGUCUGAGAGGAUGACCAGCCACACUGGAACUGAGACACGGUCCAGACUCCUACGGGAGGCAGCAGUGGGGAAUAUUGCACAAUGGGCGCAAGCCUGAUGCAGCCAUGCCGCGUGUGUGAAGAAGGCCUUCGGGUUGUAAAGCACUUUCAGCGGGGAGGAAGGCGUUAAGGUUAAUAACCUUGGCGAUUGACGUUACCCGCAGAAGAAGCACCGGCUAACUCCGUGCCAGCAGCCGCGGUAAUACGGAGGGUGCAAGCGUUAAUCGGAAUUACUGGGCGUAAAGCGCACGCAGGCGGUCUGUCAAGUCGGAUGUGAAAUCCCCGGGCUCAACCUGGGAACUGCAUUCGAAACUGGCAGGCUAGAGUCUUGUAGAGGGGGGUAGAAUUCCAGGUGUAGCGGUGAAAUGCGUAGAGAUCUGGAGGAAUACCGGUGGCGAAGGCGGCCCCCUGGACAAAGACUGACGCUCAGGUGCGAAAGCGUGGGGAGCAAACAGGAUUAGAUACCCUGGUAGUCCACGCCGUAAACGAUGUCGAUUUGGAGGUUGUGCCCUUGAGGCGUGGCUUCCGGAGCUAACGCGUUAAAUCGACCGCCUGGGGAGUACGGCCGCAAGGUUAAAACUCAAAUGAAUUGACGGGGGCCCGCACAAGCGGUGGAGCAUGUGGUUUAAUUCGAUGCAACGCGAAGAACCUUACCUGGUCUUGACAUCCACAGAACUUUCCAGAGAUGGAUUGGUGCCUUCGGGAACUGUGAGACAGGUGCUGCAUGGCUGUCGUCAGCUCGUGUUGUGAAAUGUUGGGUUAAGUCCCGCAACGAGCGCAACCCUUAUCCUUUGUUGCCAGCGGUUAGGCCGGGAACUCAAAGGAGACUGCCAGUGAUAAACUGGAGGAAGGUGGGGAUGACGUCAAGUCAUCAUGGCCCUUACGACCAGGGCUACACACGUGCUACAAUGGCAUAUACAAAGAGAAGCGACCUCGCGAGAGCAAGCGGACCUCAUAAAGUAUGUCGUAGUCCGGAUUGGAGUCUGCAACUCGACUCCAUGAAGUCGGAAUCGCUAGUAAUCGUAGAUCAGAAUGCUACGGUGAAUACGUUCCCGGGCCU
Molecule: ribosomal RNA, 1361 nt
Filed under: uncultured bacterium
Lineage: Bacteria
Description: bacterial SSU rRNA
Rfam family: Bacterial small subunit ribosomal RNA
Source: RNAcentral